RNAcentral lists this ribosomal RNA (253 nucleotides) under uncultured bacterium. RNAcentral's name for it is "partial 16S ribosomal RNA". It matches the Rfam family "Bacterial small subunit ribosomal RNA", at positions 524 to 776 of the family's 1533-position model. The record is from RNAcentral.
UACAGAGGGUGCAAGCGUUGUUCGGAAUUAUUGGGCGUAAAGCGCGUGUAGGCGGCCAGGCAAGUUGGGUGUGAAAGCCCUCGGCUUAACCGAGGAAGUGCGCCCAAAACUACUUGGCUUGAGUACCGGAGAGGAUGGUGGAAUUCCCGGUGUAGAGGUGAAAUUCGUAGAUAUCGGGAGGAACACCAGCGGCGAAGGCGACCAUCUGGACGGAUACUGACGCUGAGACGCGAAAGCGUGGGGAGCAAACAGG